UACAGAGGUCCCAAGCGUUGUUCGGAUUCACUGGGCGUAAAGGGUGCGUAGGCGGUCGGGUAAGUUUAAUGUGAAAUCUCCGGGCUUAACCCGGAAACUGCAUUGAAUACUAUUCGGCUUGAGGUCUGGAGGGGGGACUGGAAUUCUCGGUGUAGCAGUGAAAUGCGUAGAUAUCGAGAGGAACACCAGUGGCGAAGGCGAGUCCCUGGACAGGUCCUGACGCUGAGGCACGAAAGCUAGGGGAGCAAACAGG
This 253-nucleotide ribosomal RNA is filed under the name uncultured bacterium. Its description in RNAcentral is "partial 16S ribosomal RNA". It matches the Rfam family "Bacterial small subunit ribosomal RNA", at positions 524 to 776 of the family's 1533-position model. The record is from RNAcentral.